RNAcentral lists this ribosomal RNA (253 nucleotides) under uncultured bacterium. RNAcentral describes it as "partial 16S ribosomal RNA". It matches the Rfam family "Bacterial small subunit ribosomal RNA", at positions 524 to 776 of the family's 1533-position model. The record is from RNAcentral.
UACGGAUGGUGCAAGCGUUAUCCGGAAUCACUGGGUUUAAAGGGUGCGUAGGCGGCUGUAUAAGUCAGAGGUGAAAGCCCGGAGCUUAACUUCGGAACUGCCUUUGAUACUGUAUAGCUUGAAAUAGGUUGAGGUCAGCGGAAUGUGGCAUGUAGCGGUGAAAUUCAUAGAUAUGCCAUAGAACACCAAUUGCGAAGGCAGCUGGCUGGGCCUUAUUUGACGCUGAGGCACGAAAGCGUGGGGAGCGAACAGG